Molecule: ribosomal RNA, 423 nt
Filed under: Enterococcus faecium
Lineage: Bacteria; Bacillati; Bacillota; Bacilli; Lactobacillales; Enterococcaceae
Description: bacterial SSU rRNA
Rfam family: Bacterial small subunit ribosomal RNA
Source: RNAcentral
GAGUGGCGAACGGGUGAGUAACACGUGGGUAACCUGCCCAUCAGAAGGGGAUAACACUUGGAAACAGGUGCUAAUACCGUAUAACAAUCAAAACCGCAUGGUUUUGAUUUGAAAGGCGCUUUCGGGUGUCGCUGAUGGAUGGACCCGCGGUGCAUUAGCUAGUUGGUGAGGUAACGGCUCACCAAGGCCACGAUGCAUAGCCGACCUGAGAGGGUGAUCGGCCACAUUGGGACUGAGACACGGCCCAAACUCCUACGGGAGGCAGCAGUAGGGAAUCUUCGGNAAUGGACGAAAGUCUGACCGAGCAACGCCGCGUGAGUGAAGAAGGUUUUCGGAUCGUAAAACUCUGUUGUUAGAGAAGAACAAGGAUGAGAGUAACUGUUCAUCCCUUGACGGUAUCUAACCAGAAAGCCACGGCUAACU